AUUGAACGCUGGCGGCAGGCCUAACACAUGCAAGUCGAGCGAGCGGCGGACGGGUGAGUAAUGUCUGGGAAACUGCCUGAUGGAGGGGGAUAACUACUGGAAACGGUAGCUAAUACCGCAUACCAUCAGAUGUGCCCAGAUGGGAUUAGAUAGUAGGUGGGGUAACGGCUCACCUCGGCGACGCUCCCGAGCUGGUCUGAGAGGGUGACCAACAACACUGGAACUGAGACACGGUCCAGACUCCUACGGGAGGCAGAAGUGGGGAAUAUUGACCAAUGGGCGCAAGCCUGAUGCAGCCAUGCCGCGUGUGUGAAGAAGGCCUUCGGGUUGUAAAGCACGUUCAGCGGGGAGGCGUUACCCGCAGAAGAAGCACCGGCUAACUCCGUGCCAGCAGCCGCGGUAAUUC
RNAcentral lists this ribosomal RNA (406 nucleotides) under uncultured bacterium. RNAcentral's name for it is "partial 16S ribosomal RNA". It matches the Rfam family "Bacterial small subunit ribosomal RNA", at positions 30 to 526 of the family's 1533-position model. The record is from RNAcentral.